This 442-nucleotide ribosomal RNA is filed under the name uncultured bacterium. RNAcentral's name for it is "partial 16S ribosomal RNA". It matches the Rfam family "Bacterial small subunit ribosomal RNA", at positions 338 to 795 of the family's 1533-position model. The record is from RNAcentral.
CCUACGGGUGGCAGCAGUGGGGAAUAUUGGGCAAUGGGCGCAAGCCUGACCCAGCAACGCCGCGUGAAGGAAGAAGGCUUUCGGGUUGUAAACUUCUUUUAAGAGGGAAGAGCAGAAGACGGUACCUCUUGAAUAAGCCACGGCUAACUACGUGCCAGCAGCCGCGGUAAUACGUAGGUGGCAAGCGUUGUCCGGAUUUACUGGGUGUAAAGGGCGUGUAGCCGGGCUGACAAGUCAGAUGUGAAAUCCGGGGGCUCAACCCCCGAACUGCAUUUGAAACUGUUGGUCUUGAGUAUCGGAGAGGCAGGCGGAAUUCCUAGUGUAGCGGUGAAAUGCGUAGAUAUUAGGAGGAACACCGGUGGCGAAGGCGGCCUGCUGGACUGUGACUGACGUUGAGGCCCGAAGGCGUGGGGAGCAAACAGGAUUAGAUACCCCAGUAGUC